Molecule: ribosomal RNA, 464 nt
Filed under: uncultured bacterium
Lineage: Bacteria
Description: partial 16S ribosomal RNA
Rfam family: Bacterial small subunit ribosomal RNA
Source: RNAcentral
UGGGGAAUAUUGCACAAUGGGCGAAAGCCUGAUGCAGCAACGCCGCGUGAGUGAUGAAGGCCUUCGGGUUGUAAAGCUCUGUCUUUUGGGACGAUAAUGACGGUACCAAAGGAGGAAGCCACGGCUAACUACGUGCCAGCAGCCGCGGUAAUACGUAGGUGGCAAGCGUUGUCCGGAUUUACUGGGCGUAAAGGAUGCGUAGGCGGAUUUUUAAGUGAGAUGUGAAAAACCCUAAGCUUAACUUGGGGACUGCAUUUCAUACUGGAAAUCUAGAGUGCGGGAGAGGAGAAUGGAGUUCCUAGUGUAGCGGUGAAAAUGCGUAGAGAUUAGGAAGAAACACCAGUGGCGAAGGCGAUUCUCUGGACCGUAACUGACGCUGAGGCAUGAAAAGCGUGGGGUAGCAAAACAGGAUUAGAUACCCUGGUAGUCCACGCCGUAAAACGAUGAGUACUAGGUGUAGGAGG